RNAcentral lists this transfer RNA (72 nucleotides) under Bos taurus (domestic cattle). It matches the Rfam family "tRNA". From Rfam's summary of the family: Transfer RNA (tRNA) molecules are approximately 80 nucleotides in length. Their secondary structure includes four short double-helical elements and three loops (D, anti-codon, and T loops). Lineage: Eukaryota; Metazoa; Chordata; Mammalia; Artiodactyla; Bovidae. The record is from Rfam by way of RNAcentral. RNAcentral also lists the same sequence under 1 other name.
ACCUAAGUGGCUCAGAGGGUAAAGCAUCUGCCCACAAUGCUGGAGACCUGGGUUCGAUCCCUGGUUUGGGAA